AACGAACGCUGGCGGCGUGCCUAACACAUGCAAGUCGAACGUGAAAGCCUCCGGGCAAGUAAAGUGGCGCACGGGUGAGUAACACGUAGGUAACCUACCUUAGAGUUUGGAAUAACCUGCCGAAAGGCGGGCUAAUACCAGAUAGCUCAAGACUAUUAUAGUGGUAGUUUUGGAAAAGGGUGGUGGCAACACCCCUUGCUUUAAGAUGGGCCUGCGUCUCAUUAGUUUGAUGGUAGGGUAACGGCCUACCAUGGCGAUGAUGAGUAGCUGGUCUAAGAGGAUGAUCAGCCACACUGGGACUGAAACACGGCCCAG
Molecule: ribosomal RNA, 315 nt
Filed under: uncultured bacterium
Lineage: Bacteria
Description: bacterial SSU rRNA
Rfam family: Bacterial small subunit ribosomal RNA
Source: RNAcentral